This is a long non-coding RNA of Harmonia axyridis, 387 nucleotides long. RefSeq lists it as uncharacterized. Lineage: Eukaryota; Metazoa; Arthropoda; Insecta; Coleoptera; Coccinellidae. The transcript has 2 exons. The record is from RefSeq and is a predicted model, not a curated record.
UUCUGCCAAACAAAUCUGAUUCAGAUGUCUUUCACAAAAUUCCUCGAUGUAGGUUCGAUCGCAUUCCUCAAUGAAAAAUCGCAGAAGACCACCUCAUUAUAAAUACCUAGAAAAUAAACACCAGAACCUUGAAAUUCAACCUAACAAGCAAAUGACACAUCUGUAAUUCUCGUUUGCAAUAAUUUGAAUAACAAAUGCUUUGCUACGAUUUGAUAUAUGUAUAGUGCAAGUGUUACUACCACUACGGAUGUAUUCCGUGUGACCUUGAAGGAUGAGAAAACAAGUUCAAGGUUACUAUAUACCUGACCGGCGAUUCAUCAAGUUACUCAAUAAAAAGGAAGCUGAAGGUCCUAUAAAAAUAUCGGAUAAUAAGAUAAAUCUUAUUAA